UUAAUAGAAGCCAAAUAGAGGCUUUUCACUGUUAAUGAAUAUAUUGUAUUACCUAUUAAG
Molecule: transfer RNA, 60 nt
Filed under: Chiropterargas boueti
Lineage: Eukaryota; Metazoa; Arthropoda; Arachnida; Ixodida; Argasidae
Description: Argas boueti tRNA-Asn
Source: RNAcentral